GAUGAACGCUGGCGGCGUGCCUAAUACAUGCAAGUCGAGCGAACGGACGAGAAGCUUGCUUCUCUGAUGUUAGCGGCGGACGGGUGAGUAACACGUGGAUAACCUACCUAUAAGACUGGGAUAACUUCGGGAAACCGGAGCUAAUACCGGAUAAUAUUUUGAACCGCAUGGUUCAAAAGUGAAAGACGGUCUUGCUGUCACUUAUAGAUGGAUCCGCGCUGCAUUAGCUAGUUGGUAAGGUAACGGCUUACCAAGGCAACGAUGCAUAGCCGACCUGAGAGGGUGAUCGGCCACACUGGAACUGAGACACGGUCCAGACUCCUACGGGAGGCAGCAGUAGGGAAUCUUCCGCAAUGGGCGAAAGCCUGACGGAGCAACGCCGCGUGAGUGAUGAAGGUCUUCGGAUCGUAAAACUCUGUUAUUAGGGAAGAACAUAUGUGUAAGUAACUGUGCACAUCUUGACGGUACCUAAUCAGAAAGCCACGGCUAACUACGUGCCAGCAGCCGCGGUAAUACGUAGGUGGCAAGCGUUAUCCGGAAUUAUUGGGCGUAAAGCGCGCGUAGGCGGUUUUUUAAGUCUGAUGUGAAAGCCCACGGCUCAACCGUGGAGGGUCAUUGGAAACUGGAAAACUUGAGUGCAGAAGAGGAAAGUGGAAUUCCAUGUGUAGCGGUGAAAUGCGCAGAGAUAUGGAGGAACACCAGUGGCGAAGGCGACUUUCUGGUCUGUAACUGACGCUGAUGUGCGAAAGCGUGGGGAUCAAACAGGAUUAGAUACCCUGGUAGUCCACGCCGUAAACGAUGAGUGCUAAGUGUUAGGGGGUUUCCGCCCCUUAGUGCUGCAGCUAACGCAUUAAGCACUCCGCCUGGGGAGUACGACCGCAAGGUUGAAACUCAAAGGAAUUGACGGGGACCCGCACAAGCGGUGGAGCAUGUGGUUUAAUUCGAAGCAACGCGAAGAACCUUACCAAAUCUUGACAUCCUUUGACAACUCUAGUGAUAGAGCCUUCCCCUUCGGGGGACAAAGUGACAGGUGGUGCAUGGUUGUCGUCAGCUCGUGUCGUGAGAUGUUGGGUUAAGUCCCGCAACGAGCGCAACCCUUAAGCUUAGUUGCCAUCAUUAAGUUGGGCACUCUAAGUUGACUGCCGGUGACAAACCGGAGGAAGGUGGGGAUGACGUCAAAUCAUCAUGCCCCUUAUGAUUUGGGCUACACACGUGCUACAAUGGACAAUACAAAGGGCAGCGAAACCGCGAGGUCAAGCAAAUCCCAUAAAGUUGUUCUCAGUUCGGAUUGUAGUCUGCAACUCGACUACAUGAAGCUGGAAUCGCUAGUAAUCGUAGAUCAGCAUGCUACGGUGAAUACGUUCCCGGGUCU
This 1372-nucleotide ribosomal RNA is filed under the name uncultured bacterium. RNAcentral's name for it is "bacterial SSU rRNA". It matches the Rfam family "Bacterial small subunit ribosomal RNA", at positions 28 to 1381 of the family's 1533-position model. The record is from RNAcentral.